CAACCUGCCGUCUACUCUUGGACAGCCUUCUGAAAGGAAGAUUAAUACAAGAUGGCAUCAUGAGUCCGCAUGUUCACAUGAUUAAAGGUAUUCCGGUAGACGAUGGGGAUGCGUUCCAUUAGAUAGUAGGCGGGGUAACGGCCCACCUAGUCUUCGAUGGAUAGGGGUUCUGAGAGGAGGGUCCCCCACAUUGGAACUGAGACACGGUCCAAACUCCUACGGGAGGCAGCAGUGAGGAAUAUUGGUCAAUGGGCGAGAGCCUGAACCAGCCAAGUAGCGUGAAGGAUGACUGCCCUAUGGGUUGUAAACUUCUUUUAUAAAGGAAUAAAGUCGGGUAUGCAUACCCGUUUGCAUGUACUUUAUGAAUAAGGAUCGGCUAACUCCGUGCCAGCAGCCGCGGUAAUACGGAGGAUCCGAGCGUUAUCCGGAUUUAUUGGGUUUAAAGGGAGCGUAGAUGGAUGUUUAAGUCAGUUGUGAAAGUUUGCGGCUCAACCGUAAAAUUGCAGUUGAUACUGGAUAUCUUGAGUGCAGUUGAGGCAGGCGGAAUUCGUGGUGUAGCGGUGAAAUGCUUAGAUAUCACGAAGAACUCCGAUUG
Molecule: ribosomal RNA, 595 nt
Filed under: uncultured Bacteroidota bacterium
Lineage: Bacteria; Pseudomonadati; Bacteroidota
Description: bacterial SSU rRNA
Rfam family: Bacterial small subunit ribosomal RNA
Source: RNAcentral